Molecule: transfer RNA, 72 nt
Filed under: Phytophthora infestans (potato late blight agent)
Lineage: Eukaryota; Oomycota; Peronosporomycetes; Peronosporales; Peronosporaceae
Also listed under: 1 other name
Rfam family: tRNA
About the family: Transfer RNA (tRNA) molecules are approximately 80 nucleotides in length.
Source: Rfam by way of RNAcentral
AUGCUUUUAGCUCAGUGGUCGAGCGUUGGCUUUGGAAGCCACAGGUCGGUGGUUCGAGCCCACCAGGGCACA